RNAcentral lists this ribosomal RNA (468 nucleotides) under uncultured bacterium. RNAcentral's name for it is "partial 16S ribosomal RNA". It matches the Rfam family "Bacterial small subunit ribosomal RNA", at positions 28 to 507 of the family's 1533-position model. The record is from RNAcentral.
GAUGAACGCUGGCGGCGUGCUUAACACAUGCAAGUCGAACGGUGAAGGCGGAGCUUGCUCUGCUGGAUCAGUGGCGAACGGGUGAGUAACACGUGAGCUAUCUGCCCCUGACUCUGGGAUAAGCGCUGGAAACGGCGUCUAAUACUGGAUACGAGCUGCGAAGGCAUCUUCAGCAGCUGGAAAGAACUUCGGUCAGGGAUGAGCUCGCGGCCUAUCAGCUUGUUGGUGAGGUAACGGCUCACCAAGGCGUCGACGGGUAGCCGGUCUGAGAGGGUGACCGGCCACACUGGGACUGAGACACGGCCCAGACUCCUACGGGAGGCAGCAGUGGGGAAUAUUGCACAAUGGGCGAAAGCCUGAUGCAGCAACGCCGCGUGAGGGACGACGGCCUUCGGGUUGUAAACCUCUUUUAGCAGGGAAGAAGCGAAAGUGACGGUACCUGCAGAAAAAGCGCCGGCUAACUACGUG